UACGGGGGGGGUAAGCGUUGUUCGGAAUUACUGGGCGUAAAGGGCUCGUAGGCGGCCAACUAAGUCAGACGUGAAAUCCCUCAGCUUAACUGGGGAACUGCGUCUGAUACUGGAUGGCUUGGAUUCGGGAGAGGAAUGCGGAAUUCCACGUGUAGCAGUGAAAUGCGCAGAUAUCAGGAGGAACACCGGUGGCGAAGGCGGAUCUCUGGGCCUUACCUGACGCUGAGGCGCGAAAGCUAGGGGAGCAAACAGG
This 253-nucleotide ribosomal RNA is filed under the name uncultured bacterium. Its description in RNAcentral is "partial 16S ribosomal RNA". It matches the Rfam family "Bacterial small subunit ribosomal RNA", at positions 524 to 776 of the family's 1533-position model. The record is from RNAcentral.